RNAcentral lists this ribosomal RNA (1238 nucleotides) under metagenome. Its description in RNAcentral is "bacterial LSU rRNA". It matches the Rfam family "Bacterial large subunit ribosomal RNA", at positions 1564 to 2813 of the family's 2925-position model. The record is from RNAcentral.
UGAGUACGAGACGCUAAGGCGUCGAAGUAGUGUAUGUCAUACUUCCAAGAAAAGCUUGCACUAUCAUAGAUAAAAAACGCCUGUACCAUAACCGACACAGGUGGGUAGGUAGAGUAUACUAAGGGGCGCGAGAUAACUCUCUCUAAGGAACUCGGCAAAAUAACUCCGUAACUUCGGGAGAAGGAGUGCCUUAUUAUUAAGGUUGCAAUAACAAGAUCCAAGCAACUGUUUAUCAAAAACACAGGUCUCCGCUAAGUCGUAAGACGAUGUAUGGGGGCUGACGCCUGCCCAGUGCCAGAAGGUUAAAGAAGUUGGUUAGCAAUUGCGAAGCUGAUAACUGAAGCCCUGGUGAACGGCGGCCGUAACGAUAACGGUCCUAAGGUAGCGAAAUUCCUUGUCGGGUAAGUUCCGACCCGCACGAAAGGCGUAAUGAUUUGGAUACUGUCUCGGAGAGGGGCUCGGUGAAAUAGACUUGUCUGUGAAGAUGCGGACUACCUGCACCAGGACAGAAAGACCCUAUGAAGCUUUACUGUAACUUGAAAUUGAAAUUGGACUUUAUUCGCGCAGUAUAGGUGGGAGGCGUUGAUUAUAAUCUUGCGGGAUUAUUGGAGCCAUCAGUGAGAUACCACUCUUGUAAUGUUAGAUUUCUAACUUUGAAUCAUUAUCUGGUCAAAGAACAGUUUCAGGCGGGCAGUUUGACUGGGGCGGUCGCCUCCUAAACGGUAACGGAGGCGUACAAAGGUUUCCUCUGAACGGUUAGAAAUCGUAUCUAGAGUGUAAAGGCAUAAGGAAGCUUGACUGUGAGACCUACAAGUCGAGCAGAGACGAAAGUCGGUCUUAGUGAUCUGACGGUACUGAGUGGAAAGGCCGUCACUCAACGGAUAAAAGUUACUCUAGGAUAACAGGCUGAUCUCCCCCAAGAGUUCACAUCGACGGGGAGGUUUGGCACCUCGAUGUCGGCUCAUCGCAUCCUGGGGCGGUAGUACGUCCCAAGGGUUGGGCUGUUCGCCCAUGAAAGCGGUACGCGAGCUGGGUUCAGAACGUCGUGAGACAGUUCGGUCCAUAUCCGGUGUAGGCGUUAGAUAUUGAGAGGAGCCUUCUUUAGUACGAGAGGACCGAGAAGGACAUACCUCUGGUGUACCAGUUAUCGUGCCAACGGUAAACGCUGGGUAGCUAUGUAUGGAGUGGAUAACCGCUGAAAGCAUCUAAGUGGGAAGCCCACCUCAAGAUAAGUAUUC